CUGCUCCUAGUACGAGAGGACCGGAGUGGACGCAUCACUGGUGUUCGGGUUGUCAUGCCAAUGGCACUGCCCGGUAGCUAAAUGCGGAAGAGAUAAGUGCUGAAAGCAUCUAAGCACGAAACUUGCCCCGAGAUGAGUUCUCCCUGACUCCUUGAGAGUCCUGAAGGAACGUUGAAGACGACGACGUUGAUAGGCCGGGUGUGUAAGCGCAGCGAUGCGUUGAGCUAACCGGUACUAAUGAACCGUGAGG
Molecule: ribosomal RNA, 250 nt
Filed under: Escherichia coli
Lineage: Bacteria; Pseudomonadati; Pseudomonadota; Gammaproteobacteria; Enterobacterales; Enterobacteriaceae
Description: partial 23S ribosomal RNA
Rfam family: Bacterial large subunit ribosomal RNA
Source: RNAcentral